GAUGAAUGAAUACCUGCACCAUGGAAACAAUGUCAUUUGCAAAUUUUUUAACCUGUGCUGGGCGUUCACAUUGACAUUUCUUGUUCAACAGAAUACAUGAUGUCGACCAACAGUACAGCUAGAUGAAGAUAUAAAUUUAUUCAAAGAAAUAAUGGGACAAUGAAUGCUAAAAUUGCCUAGAAGAAGACUGUCAAUUUACACACCAUUUUAUACAGUAUGAUAUGGUGAACAAAAUGCCUCAAUGCAGCCAGUUCUGGAGCUUUGGCUAGACUAUGAACAGUAGACAUCAAAAGAUGAUCAUCUGAAGGGCCACAAUUGUUUAAAGCACUGGUCAACAAAAACUGAACUAUUUGAUGGAUCAUACAUCUGCAG
Molecule: long non-coding RNA, 372 nt
Organism: Mercenaria mercenaria
Lineage: Eukaryota; Metazoa; Mollusca; Bivalvia; Venerida; Veneridae
Exons: 4
Source: RefSeq, a predicted model, not a curated record